AGGUGAAUAUGCGGUUUGUAUUGGUCCGGUCUAGCCUCUCCCCGUCCACCCUGACUCCCGAUUCCUCUCCUCCCCAAUUCCCUCUUCUCUCCCGAUUCGCGCCGCCACCCUUCAGAUCCACCGCCGGCAACUCGCCCCCUCCACCCUCCGGCUAUCGCGGCACCACGCCCACCACCCUCCUCCACUCUCCGGCCGAAGCCCAUCUCGCCGCCUCUCCCACGAAGAUCCGGCAGCGUGGCGCUCAUCUCGGAGUUCAUCUUGUCCCGGUCCAAGACCAUCCACCGAGCUGCUCAUCCACGCCCGCCGCCCUGCUCGCCCUCCCUGCCUCCCUUCCAUGUAGAUCCAUCUCGGUGUGCGGAGCUCCUUCCCCUACGUACCAAGCCGCCGCAGUACACCGCGUCACCGGCUGCCCCACGCCCGCCGACGUCCUCUGCCUCCUCUUCGUCUGUGGAGGAUUUUGACGCCUGGCUCGCCAAUAAGCUUCUGCAGAUCCUAGUUAACUGCAACUUUUUUGGAUUAUUGAUCUCAUUAUGUGUUUCUUGUAGAACUCGGGGUCACAAUUCAUAAGGGAAGGAGAAGGACUUGGAGGAGCUCGAGUGAGCAGCAGAAAUCAGGACAGCUCAGCUCGAUGGGAAGUCAGUGACUCUACAGAUCUUUUGUUUCAGACAUACAUGUGAUUCAAACCUCUGUCAUCCGAAUAAAUGCGGUUCUAACAGGGGUGGAUUGGAAGAAAAUUGAGAUAUAGAGGGUGGGAGAGGAAACUCACCUUGAUGGCUGCGAUCCAAAAAAAAUCCGACGCAAAGAGCGGGAGCCUGCUGUCAAAAUGUCUGCUCAAAUUAGGAAAAAAAUUUUAGCACAAGCACUGAAUUUUUUUCACAAUUUCAGGCUUACUUUCAGCGAUUCUGCCGGCCAAGAGCACACAAGCCUGAGGAGGAACCGGAGAGAAGCGGACUGAAUCCAGUAGCCGCUGUCCAAUGACAACGACGCUUCUGGCCUACGGCUUCUUGAAGGCAUUGCCGUUCUCAGUCAGUCGCGGUGACCCUGUUGUGCCUCCUUCACGUGUCUCCCUCACUUCCUCAAAGCCCAGGGCAUUGGCAACAGGGUUGAGGGUUUCAUACCGUCGUAGGUGGCUACAUGUUUCUGCAUGCUCCAGUGAGGUUGAUGCGGAUGCCACGGAGUUACCGGCAGAAGCCACUUUUGAUUUAAAGCUUCCUAGAAGAAGCUUGCUUGUUCAGUUUACAUGUAAUAAAUGCGAUGCAAGGACCAAGCGUUUGAUAAACCGGGUAGCCCAUGAAAGAGGAACAGUUUUUCUUCAUGCGCAGGAUGCCAGGUGUAUCACAAGUUUGUUGACAAUCUUGGCCUAAUUGUUGAGUAUGACCUACGAGAAGAAAAUGGGAUGAACACUUGUACUGAGGACUGAUGUGUAAUUAGAAGCAAUCUAGAGGAUGAUCAACAUGGGCAGUCAGGGUUAGCAGUUGUGGUGAACAUUAUGUAACUUAUAUGUACAAAGAAACUAGAUGAAAUAAUAAUCUCUAGCAUUUGAGUGCAAAAUGCUGCUAUCUGCUUGCAUUUAAAUGCUGCUAUCUGCUUGCAUUUGGGAGUCUUCCGAUCUUUGUUUCCCUGUCUGAGAUUUAUCUUAGUGCUUUUAAUAAGCUAAUGUAAUUUUGCAUCGAU
Brachypodium distachyon (stiff brome) is the source of this 1674-nucleotide RNA transcript. It is a transcript of the gene named DNL-type zinc finger protein-like, with no coding region annotated. NCBI's taxonomy places the organism in Eukaryota, Viridiplantae, Streptophyta, Magnoliopsida, Poales, Poaceae. The transcript has 9 exons. The record is from RefSeq and is a predicted model, not a curated record.